ACACAUGGAUAAACAUGGCUGAUUUAGCAGUUUCUCUGUAGAGUUAAUCAAGACUUUGUUUUUGGUGUCUCCAAGGACUGUAUCUGAGAAUGGCAGAGUCAGCUGAAGAAGACAGACCAGAGAAAGUAGGGCUGAAAUUGGUCUCUUUAACCACGGCAAUGCCAACAUGGCUGAAGGAGAGGUGGGGACCCAAACUGUAUGCAUUGUUCCAGAUGCGCUCUUGCCAAAACAGCAUAAAGCAAAUGUAACAGUUAAGAAGAAGGCUCCCUCCCUCAUCAGGCCCCUGGCAUCUGACGUAUGGCGAGCUUUAGCAUAAGGACCUACCAAGACCUGCCUGAUGUUCUGAACAUGUAUAUCCUCCAAAGUCUAGAAUCUCAGCUGGAACCAGAUGGACACUUGUUCCCGCAACCAGGGCUCUUGCUGAUGGUUCUCUCCACAUCUCAGUUGAUUGCUGGUUUUCUCUUUCUUGCUCUCCUGUCUCUCUCCAAACACCUCUUGAUUGCCUUUUCUAGGGACAGACCUUAGAAAGAUGGGCCAGGACUUGGGAUUCUGCAUUGUACCCUGCAGUCCCAAGCCAGCAUCCACUGCACCCCAUCUUCAAGGCACCAACCCCCAAAUAGAUGCUUGAAGGCAUCAGCUUCUGAGAGCCCACUUUUCGUCUGCAUGACUAGCUUGUAAGGAGGGAUAUAUAGAGAGAAUUUCCAAGAAUUUUCCACUUUUUCAAAAAAUGUAUGUGACUUAUUUUUGGCUUUGAACUGAAAGCAGAUUCAUGGUGUACAUCUCUGUCUACUUGUGCACAUCUGUGAACUCUGGAGAAAUUGAUGCAACGUUCUCCUUCCUAUCUGGGCUGUUUGUAUAAUUGUAUAUAAAUGUAGCAAUAAAUAUAUUCUAACACCA
This is a long non-coding RNA of Pteropus alecto (black flying fox), 897 nucleotides long. RefSeq lists it as uncharacterized. The transcript is spliced from 3 exons. Lineage: Eukaryota; Metazoa; Chordata; Mammalia; Chiroptera; Pteropodidae. The record is from RefSeq and is a predicted model, not a curated record.